RNAcentral lists this ribosomal RNA (385 nucleotides) under uncultured Actinomyces sp. RNAcentral describes it as "bacterial SSU rRNA". It matches the Rfam family "Bacterial small subunit ribosomal RNA", at positions 67 to 447 of the family's 1533-position model. Lineage: Bacteria; Bacillati; Actinomycetota; Actinomycetes; Actinomycetales; Actinomycetaceae. The record is from RNAcentral.
AUCCAUUAGCGCUUUUGUGUUUUUGGUGAGAGUGGCGAACGGGUGAGUAACACGUGAGUAACCUGCCCUUUUCUUUGGGAUAAGCCUGGGAAACUGGGUCUAAUACUGGAUGUUCCGGCUUCCUCGCAUGGGGUUGUUGGGAAAGGUUUUUUCUGGAUUGGGAUGGGCUCGCGGCUUAUCAGCUUGUUGGUGGGGUGAUGGCUUACCAAGGCUUUGACGGGUAGCCGGCCUGAGAGGGUGGUCGGUCACACUGGGACUGAGAUACGGCCCAGACUCCUACGGGAGGCAGCAGUGGGGGAUAUUGCGCAAUGGACGGAAGUCUGAUGCAGCGACGUCGUGUGGGGGAUGAAGGCCUUCGGGUUGUAAACUCCUUUCGCCCGCGGAA